Molecule: ribosomal RNA, 253 nt
Filed under: uncultured bacterium
Lineage: Bacteria
Description: partial 16S ribosomal RNA
Rfam family: Bacterial small subunit ribosomal RNA
Source: RNAcentral
UACAGAGACUGCAAGCGUUAUUCGGAUUCACUGGGCGUAAAGGGUGCGCAGGCCGCUGUGUGUGUGAGGUGUGAAAUCCCGGGGCUUAACUCCGGAACUGCGCCUCAAACUACACAGCUAGAGCAUUGGAGAGGGAAGUGGAAUUCACGGUGUAGCAGUGAAAUGCGUAGAUAUCGUGAGGAACACCAGAGGCGAAGGCGACUUCCUGGACAAUUGCUGACGCUCAGGCACGAAAGCGUGGGGAGCAAAAGGG